This 495-nucleotide ribosomal RNA is filed under the name uncultured bacterium. RNAcentral describes it as "partial 16S ribosomal RNA". It matches the Rfam family "Bacterial small subunit ribosomal RNA", at positions 28 to 507 of the family's 1533-position model. The record is from RNAcentral.
GACGAACGCUGGCGGCGUGCCUAAUACAUGCAAGUAGAACGCUGAAGGAGGAGCUUGCUUCUCUGGAUGAGUUGCGAACGGGUGAGUAACGCGUAGGUAACCUGCCUGGUAGCGGGGGAUAACUAUUGGAAACGAUAGCUAAUACCGCAUAAGAGUAGAUGUUGCAUGACAUUUGCUUAAAAGGUGCAAUUGCAUCACUACCAGAUGGACCUGCGUUGUAUUAGCUAGUUGGUGGGGUAACGGCUCACCAAGGCGACGAUACAUAGCCGACCUGAGAGGGUGAUCGGCCACACUGGGACUGAGACACGGCCCAGACUCCUACGGGAGGCAGCAGUAGUGAAUCUUCGGCAAUGGACGGAAGUCUGACCGAGCAACGCCGCGUGAGUGAAGAAGGUUUUCGGAUCGUAAAGCUCUGUUGUAAGAGAAGAACGAGUGUGAGAGUGGAAAGUUCACACUGUGACGGUAUCUUACCAGAAAGGGACGGCUAACUACGUG